Molecule: ribosomal RNA, 318 nt
Filed under: uncultured eukaryote
Lineage: Eukaryota
Description: partial 18S ribosomal RNA
Rfam family: Eukaryotic small subunit ribosomal RNA
Source: RNAcentral
CCCUUAGAUGUUCUGGGCAGCACGCGCGCUACAAUGGUCUUCGCAAACGGAUGCAUUCUCGAAGGAGAAUGCCAAUCUUGGAAUCUAUGCCUUGGUCGGGACAGUUGCUUGCAAUUUUUCGACUCGAACCAGGAAUUCCUUGUAAUCGUGAUUCAUCACAUCACGAUGAAUACGUCCCUGCCCUUUGUACACACCGCCCGUCGCUCCUACCGAUCGAAGAGUUAGGUGAAUUGUUUUGAUCGAUAAGAUUUGACUAUGGUCAACUCUCGUUGUGAAAUUCUGUGAAUCUGACUGUUAGAGGAAGGAAAAGUCGUAACA